GUUUAUACGAUGUGCCUCGUAGUGACUAGCUAUGCAUCACAGUGACCAGCAGUUUCUAAGAGACAGAAACAACAGCAACUGGAACAGAAACUAUCAUUACCGCAGCAACUAAGAAACUAAAGUAUACUGGUGGGGCAGCACUUUCUGCUACAACUCGACUUGUCUCAUUUUCAGGUUGCUAGUGAUUUGGGUUAAGGUCAUAGUCCAUAAGAAAACAGAAAGGACAGAAGCCAAGCUUUUUAGCUUACCUAAUGAGGAGAGAAGAACUAAAAUACUCCUUAGGGAUCAUCACCUCAAAGAGAAGGUUUGUGAACGCUGCCAUUACACAGAGCUAGAUCACCCUUCCUGGAUGAAACGGUAUGGCCUUCAGACAUGCUGCUUUCUCCUUGGCUUCUUUCCCUGCGUCAUGGAGUGGCCUUGCCUUGAGAAAUGCUGCUCCUCGUUACCCAUGAAAACAGCCAAGCUGCACUUAGUAAAUGCCAAUCUGAGUAUUUUCACCUAUUGCGGGGGCCUCUGGAACAUAACUCCCAUGACAGGUGAGGGAUCACUGCAGUUCAUGAUGCCAAAUAUCACAUGAUCUCAACUGAACCAGUGGCUCUUUUCUCUCUCUGCCUCUCCCCGUCGCCCUUCUUUUCUGUCUCCCUCUCUCCUCCUCUCUCUGCGGGAUUGUGGUUGAUUGUCUCCCAACAAGAGGUUAUGGAGGAGACCUCAUCUGCAGAGGAGGAGGAGAAAAAGGUAGUGGAAAUCCCUCACAUCAAAUGAGAAUAGGAAGAAAUGUAAAAUGUGGGAGACACUGUAAAAUUUUGUGGAAAAUCACUACCAG
Molecule: long non-coding RNA, 823 nt
Filed under: Chinchilla lanigera (long-tailed chinchilla)
Lineage: Eukaryota; Metazoa; Chordata; Mammalia; Rodentia; Chinchillidae
Description: lncRNA (ENSCLAG00000026341.1)
Source: RNAcentral